RNAcentral lists this non-coding RNA (21 nucleotides) under Caenorhabditis elegans. The record is from RNAcentral. Lineage: Eukaryota; Metazoa; Nematoda; Chromadorea; Rhabditida; Rhabditidae.
UUGUUUUGCAUAGUUGAAACA